GACGUAGGGGGCGAGCGUUGUCCGGAUUUAUUGGGCGUAAAGAGCUCGUAGGUGGCUUGUCGCGUCGGUUGUGAAAACCUGCAGCUUAACUGUGGGCUUGCAGCCGAUACGGGCGGGCUAGAGGCAGGUAGGGGAGAGUGGAAUUCCUGGUGUAGCGGUGAAAUGCGCAGAUAUCAGGAGGAACACCGGUGGCGAAGGCGGCUCUCUGGACCUGUUCUGACGCUGAGGAGCGAAAGCGUGGGGAG
This 245-nucleotide ribosomal RNA is filed under the name uncultured bacterium. RNAcentral describes it as "partial 16S ribosomal RNA". It matches the Rfam family "Bacterial small subunit ribosomal RNA", at positions 524 to 768 of the family's 1533-position model. The record is from RNAcentral.